CCCCGUUAAGUACUGCAUUGCGGUGUCCCUCAGGACUCAUUUAGUUUAAAACUCGGGUUAAAACACGACGAACCUCUUCAAAGGAAGACGUUUAAUAAUAAGGGCGUCAGGCUCUUGUUUAACCCAAAAACACGGAACCAGUUUAUAAAUGAGCUUUAUGAGGUUCAAGUGCACAGUGACCUCGACAAGCCUUGACGAACAGCAUCCAAAGAGGCUAAGAUACUGUUGUAAAUUCAUAGACUGGACUCGAGAAUUCCCAGUCCUAUCCAAAAGCAACAAAUGGACUGUGUGGUUCACGUGGAAUUGGUAUCUCUCACUGUUACUGAUACAGCCUCAGCAAGCAACACCACCUCCUCCGCCGCUGCCUGGCGGCCCUCGCUCCCGCC
RNAcentral lists this unclassified non-coding RNA (386 nucleotides) under Homarus americanus (American lobster). RNAcentral describes it as "growth hormone secretagogue receptor type 1-like, transcript variant X1". Lineage: Eukaryota; Metazoa; Arthropoda; Malacostraca; Decapoda; Nephropidae. The record is from RNAcentral.